Molecule: ribosomal RNA, 901 nt
Filed under: uncultured bacterium
Lineage: Bacteria
Description: bacterial SSU rRNA
Rfam family: Bacterial small subunit ribosomal RNA
Source: RNAcentral
GUCGAGCGAGAAUUUUGAAAAGAUUCUUCGGAUGAAAUUUAAAAUGGAAAGCGGCGGACGGGUGAGUAACGCGUAGGCAACCUGCCCCAUACAAAGGGAUAGCAUUUGGAAACGAAUAUUAAUACCUUAUAAAGCUUAUCUAGUGCAUGCUAGAAAGGUCAAAGAUUUAUCGGUAUGGGAUGGGCCUGCGUCUGAUUAGCUAGUUGGUGAGGUAACGGCUCACCAAGGCGACGAUCAGUAGCCGACCUGAGAGGGUGAACGGCCACAUUGGAACUGAGACACGGUCCAAACUCCUACGGGAGGCAGCAGUGGGGAAUAUUGCACAAUGGGGGAAACCCUGAUGCAGCAACGCCGCGUGAACGAUGAAGGCCUUUGGGUCGUAAAGUUCUGUUCUAGGUCAUGAAAACUGACAGUAGCCUAGGAGAAAGCCCCGGCUAACUCCGUGCCAGCAGCCGCGGUAAUACGGAGGGGGCAAGCGUUAUCCGGAAUUAUUGGGCGUAAAGGGUACGUAGGUGGCUUUUUAAGCGUAGGGUAUAAGGCAAUGGCUCAACCAUUGUUCGCCCUAUGAACUGGAAAGCUUGAGUGCAGGAGAGGAAAGCGGAAUUCCUAGUGUAGCGGUGGAAUGCAUAGAUAUUAGGAGGAACAUCAGCGGCGAAGGCGGCUUUCUGGACUGUAACUGACACUGAGGUACGAAAGCGUGGGGAGCAAACAGGAUUAGAUACCCUGGUAGUCCACGCCGUAAACGAUGAGCACUAGGUGUCGGGGUCGUAAGACUUCGGUGCCGUAGUUAACGCAUUAAGUGCUCCGCCUGGGGAGUACGCACGCAAGUGCGAAACUCAAAGGAAUUGACGGGGACCCGCACAAGCAGCGGAGCAUGUGGUUUAAUUCGAAGCAACGCGAA